UUUCUUUAUACUUGUUUGUAUUCAUUGUACUCUAAGAACAGUGCAAAAGAGACUUGAAAAAAAAAGAAUCUCUGAAAAAUUUGCUUGCAUGGAGGAGCAAGAAGAAAAUCGGCAUAAGAGAAAAUUAGACAUUGACUGGGAGGAGGUAUUUCCAACUGGAAACGACGAACCACCGGCUGACCUCAUCGUGAAAAAGGAGGAACCACCGGCAGCGCCUCCAAAAUCGAGGAUACUCAGUGGUUUCAGCGAUGACUCACUCGCAGGAGAUGAAUUUUAUCAGCAGAUCACCGAUCAUGAGCUGGAGGCGAGGAUUUCCAGUAUGAAAAAAACUUACGAGGACUUAAAUCGAACUUUGCCCGAUAAAGGUCGGAAGAUUCUGGAUAAAAUUAAGCGCCUCGAGGACGAGAAACAGCGGAGGAGGCUUCGUCCGGCGGAGAUGGAUGUUGAUCGGUUUGAGAAGUCCUCAAAACUGACAAGCACAGUAGGUGCUUCAGAUGGCUUUAGACCUGGGACCACAUCUUCUGAAGUCCAAUUGCAGUGCUCAUUUGCAACUGUUUUUAGUGAAAAAAUGGAGGAAAAAAGAGAUUCUAUGGUUGUGAAAGCAUUUGAUAAAGAAUUAUCAACCUUGGGCCAUUGUGGUCACCAAAAAAUGAGAGCUAAUAGACAGUUAUCCCAAAGGGAAAGAAAAGAUCAAUCAUCAUCAAGACAAUUUCCUGUUGAGAGCCCUAGCAGUUUCUCUUGUAAAAUAGAUAAACCUGUUUAUUCAAACGGCGACCAUAAGGGUAGAGCUUCUUCCACGUAUUCUUCCCACCACACUGGGGAUAAGUUGUCCAACUGUUUUCCUAACAGGAAGGAUGCAAUUGAGGUUCCACCAUCAAAUAUUUCGAAGUAUAUGAAGGGACGGACCUUGGUGCUCCUAGAUGAGGAUGAAACUGAAGAUUCAACUGUGGAAACUCUGUAUGUAGAGACAACAAAGCAAGCAGACAAGCUUGCUGAAUGUGACAGGGAUGCUAAGAUUGACUACCCAUCAAGGGAUGACCCAGAAUCUGUUGAAAUUUGUUACAAGGAUAUAGAUCACCUUGCUCCUGAGGCUUAUCUAACAUCAUCAAUUAUGAACUUCUAUAUUCGGUAUUUACAGCAACAAGCAUCCCCAACAAAUAGGGCAAUAUGGGAUUGCCAUUUUUUUAACACAUAUUUUUACCAGAAGCUCAAGGAAGCUGUAUCACGCACGGGGGGUGAAAAGGAUUCUUUUAUCAAGUUCCGGAGGUGGUGGAAGGGUAUCAAUAUAUUUCAGAAGGCGUAUAUAUUUAUUCCUAUUCAUGAAGAUCUUCAUUGGAGCUUGGUGAUUAUUUGUAUCCCUGACAAGGAAGAUGAGUCAGGACCAAAUGUACUUCAUUUGGAUUCAUUGAGCCUUCACUCUAGCAGAUCAAUUUUUGAUAACAUUCGCAGCUUUCUUAAAGAAGAAUGGAACCUUUUGUAUCAAGAAGUUACUCCUGCAGAUAUUCCAAUUCCUGAAAGAAUAUGGAAAUGCCUUCCACGUAGAAUUGAUGCCAGAAAAAUUAAGGUUCCCCAACAAAAAAAUGAUUAUGAUUGUGGUCUCUUUGUACUUUACUUUAUGAAGCGCUUCAUUGAAGAGGUCCCAGAAAGGCUGAAGAAGAAAGACCUGGAAAUGUUUGGAACACGAUGGUUUAGACCUGAAGAGGCCUCAGGCUUGAGAGUGGAAAUCAGGAAUUUAAUUAAGAAAGAAUUUCAACUUGCCAGGAAGAGCUGUCGUCAUUUGAAAUCGUCCUCAUCUUCAGGUGAUGCUGUAGGCUGAAACUGACAUAUUUUGCUGGUAGAUUUGGUGUGCCAUAAAUGUUAGACCUGUAUAAAUGAUUCAACUAUUUGCCUGCUCUCCUUCCGUGAAGAAUUAAUAGCCAAUGAAAUCUGUAAAAUGUUUUGGCAAUUAAUUCUGAAUAAGCUGCAAAAUUAGUCCGAAGGCAUCCUCAUGACGAUAAGUGUGAAGGCUAUUAUUCUAACACUCGCUGGUUGUUCAUACUGACUGGUUGCCAGUAAGUGUGAAACCCUCAUUUGCUUCACCAGUUUUAUAGGAGCAAAAAUUACUGCUGGGAGAUGCCAAGAGACGGUUCAUGUAAGUAUCCCUGAGCUGAAUACAAUUUCUAUGUAAAGCCCAUCAGAACAUUUGCAGGCAGAUAAAGGUAUGUCAAUUUUCAUGUGAAUGAGAACACAAGAUCGCUCGAUUUUUCUUUUUCUUUUCUGUCAACAAACCUCAACAGAACCCAAAAAAAGGGAUGGAACAUUCAGCCCAAUUUGGUUUCGUUUUUCA
Mangifera indica (mango) is the source of this 2326-nucleotide RNA transcript. It is a transcript of the gene named ubiquitin-like-specific protease 1D, with no coding region annotated. Lineage: Eukaryota; Viridiplantae; Streptophyta; Magnoliopsida; Sapindales; Anacardiaceae. The record is from RefSeq and is a predicted model, not a curated record. The transcript is spliced from 15 exons.